This 496-nucleotide ribosomal RNA is filed under the name uncultured bacterium. RNAcentral's name for it is "partial 16S ribosomal RNA". It matches the Rfam family "Bacterial small subunit ribosomal RNA", at positions 29 to 507 of the family's 1533-position model. The record is from RNAcentral.
AUGUACGCUGGCGGCGUGCCUCAUCCCUGCAAGUCGCGCGAACAGACGAGGAGCUUGCUCCUCUGACGUUAGCGGCGGACGGGUGAGUAACACGUGGAUAACCUACCUAUAAGACUGGGAUAACUUCGGGAAACCGGAGCUAAUACCGGAUAAUAUAUUGAACCGCAUGGUUCAAUAGUGAAAGACGGUUUUGCUGUCACUUAUAGAUGGAUCCGCGCCGCAUUAGCUAGUUGGUAAGGUAACGGCUUACCAAGGCAACGAUGCGUAGCCGACCUGAGAGGGUGAUCGGCCACACUGGAACUGAGACACGGUCCAGACUCCUACGGGAGGCAGCAGUAGGGAAUCUUCCGCAAUGGGCGAAAGCCUGACGGAGCAACGCCGCGUGAGUGAUGAAGGUCUUCGGAUCGUAAAACUCUGUUAUUAGGGAAGAACAAAUGUGUAAGUAACUAUGCACGUCUUGACGGUACCUAAUCAGAAAGCCACGGCUAACUACGUG